UUUUUUUUUUUUUUUUUUUUUUUUUUUUGCUCCCCGAAGUCAGUGC
RNAcentral lists this non-coding RNA (46 nucleotides) under Alexandrium minutum. Lineage: Eukaryota; Dinophyceae; Gonyaulacales; Pyrocystaceae. The record is from RNAcentral.